Molecule: ribosomal RNA, 272 nt
Filed under: Clostridioides difficile
Lineage: Bacteria; Bacillati; Bacillota; Clostridia; Peptostreptococcales; Peptostreptococcaceae
Description: partial 23S ribosomal RNA
Rfam family: Bacterial large subunit ribosomal RNA
Source: RNAcentral
AUGUGGACAGUAUGGGAGUGAGAAUGUUGGCAUGAGUAGCGAGAUGUGGGUGAGAAUCCCACAGGCCGUAAACCCAAGGUUUCCAGGGGAAGGUUCGUCCGCCCUGGGUUAGUCGGGACCUAAGCUGAGGCCGAAAGGCGUAGGGGAUGGACAACAGGUUGAUAUUCCUGUACUACCGAUAACCGUUUGAGAGAAGGGAUGACACAGUAGGAUAAGCUAAGCACACUGUUGGUUAUGUGUGCCCAAGCAUUGAGGCAGUCAAAGUAGGCAAA